RNAcentral lists this ribosomal RNA (460 nucleotides) under uncultured bacterium. RNAcentral's name for it is "partial 16S ribosomal RNA". It matches the Rfam family "Bacterial small subunit ribosomal RNA", at positions 338 to 795 of the family's 1533-position model. The record is from RNAcentral.
CCUACGGGUGGCAGCAGUGAGGAAUAUUGGUCAAUGGGCGGAAGCCUGAACCAGCCAAGUCGCGUGAGGGAAUAAGGCCCUACGGGUCGUAAACCUCUUUUGCCGGGGAGCAAGGGCGGGGACGUGUCCCGGCCCGGAGAGUACCCGGAGAAAAAGCAUCGGCUAACUCCGUGCCAGCAGCCGCGGUAAUACGGAGGAUGCGAGCGUUAUCCGGAUUUAUUGGGUUUAAAGGGUGCGUAGGCGGGCUUUUAAGUCAGCGGUAAAAAUUCGGGGCUCAACCCCGUCCGGCCGUUGAAACUGGGGGCCUUGAGUGGGCGAGAAGAAGGCGGAAUGCGUGGUGUAGCGGUGAAAUGCAUAGAUAUCACACAGAACACCGAUUGCGAAGGCAUCUCACGAAUCCGCGAUUGACGCUGAUGCACGAAAGCGUGGGUAUCGAACAGGAUUAGAUACCCCUGUAGUC